Molecule: ribosomal RNA, 433 nt
Filed under: uncultured bacterium
Lineage: Bacteria
Description: partial 16S ribosomal RNA
Rfam family: Bacterial small subunit ribosomal RNA
Source: RNAcentral
AACGAACGCUGGCGGCAUGCCUAACACAUGCAAGUCGAACGAGACCUUCGGGUCUAGUGGCGCACGGGUGCGUAACGCGUGGGAACCUGCCCUUAGGUUCGGAAUAACUCCCCGAAAGGGGUGCUAAUACCGGAUAAUGUCUUCGGACCAAAGAUUUAUCGCCUUUGGAUGGGUCCGCGUUGGAUUAGCUAGUUGGUAGGGUAAAAGCCUACCAAGGCGACGAUCCACAGCUGGUCUGAGAGGAUGAUCAGCCACACUGGGACUGAGACACGGCCCAGACUCCUACGGGAGGCAGCAGUGGGGAAUAUUGGACAAUGGGCGAAAGCCUGAUCCAGCAAUGCCGCGUGAGUGAUGAAGGCCUUAGGGUUGUAAAGCUCUUUUACCCGGGAUGAUAAUGACAGUACCGGGAGAAUAAGCUCCGGCUAACUCCGUG